GGACGAACGCUGGCGGCGUGCUUAACACAUGCAAGUCGAACGGAAAGGCCCUGCUUUUGUGGGGUGCUCGAGUGGCGAACGGGUGAGUAACACGUGAGUAACCUGCCCUUGACUUUGGGAUAACUUCAGGAAACUGGGGCUAAUACCGGAUAGGAGCUCCUGCUGCAUGGUGGGGGUUGGAAAGUUUCGGCGGUUGGGGAUGGACUCGCGGCUUAUCAGCUUGUUGGUGGGGUAGUGGCUUACCAAGGCUUUGACGGGUAGCCGGCCUGAGAGGGUGACCGGCCACAUUGGGACUGAGAUACGGCCCAGACUCCUACGGGAGGCAGCAGUGGGGAAUAUUGCACAAUGGGCGGAAGCCUGAUGCAGCAACGCCGCGUGCGGGAUGUCGGCCUUCGGGUUGUAAACCGCUUUCGCCUGUGACGAAGCGUGAGUGACGGUAAUGGGUAAAGAAGCACCGGCUAACUACGUG
This 469-nucleotide ribosomal RNA is filed under the name uncultured bacterium. RNAcentral's name for it is "partial 16S ribosomal RNA". It matches the Rfam family "Bacterial small subunit ribosomal RNA", at positions 27 to 507 of the family's 1533-position model. The record is from RNAcentral.